RNAcentral lists this long non-coding RNA (2013 nucleotides) under Sus scrofa (pig). Lineage: Eukaryota; Metazoa; Chordata; Mammalia; Artiodactyla; Suidae. The record is from RNAcentral.
UAUCUCCUCUAAGCUUUUGGUAGAUCCUAACAAUCCUUGGAGUUUCUUGGUGUGAGCUGAAGCACUCUACUCUCUGCCUCUGUCUCCAGAGAGCCUUCUGCUCCCUCUGUUGUUCUUUCUUCGUAUAAGGACACCAGUCAUUAGACUUAGGGCCCAUCCUGUAUUUGGUAUGGUAUCAUCUCCAGAUCCUUUAACUAAAUGCAUCUGCCAAGACCCCAUUUCCAAAUAAAUUCACAUUCUUAGAUUUCAGGAGUGGACAUGAAUUUGGAAGAGAUACUAGUCAACCCACUAGAGACAGUAAAGUGUGCUAAUUCUGGGCAAAAGUGUAAGACCUAGCAUGGGAUUUGCCACUCUAUCUGUCCCUUCCCCGUUACAAUCAGCUGUGCUCCAGACAGUGGCUGCUCCCUCUGCCUGGGUCCUGGAGUGAAGAUGGAGCCCAGCAGAGCCCCAGCUGAUCUACAAAGGGAAUGUAACAAGAAUAGAAAUAAAUGUGUCAUUUCUCCUGAAGGGAUAGCAUCUGAAGUAUUUAAUGACCACAGUCCAGCCCUUCAGAGAUAUUUCCGGCAACUUAUGCAGCUCUCCAUUUCUUGCCUCACAUACAAAACACCCUUGAAGACUGGUGUUAACCAAAACCACUUUGCCGGCUCACUGUCCCUCUUAGUCCCAACUCCACUGGCAACAUUUUACUGCCUGUUGUUUCUCUUUGGGUCCAAGGUGUAGAAAUAAAUAGAUUUUAAAGGCAGCCUUUUGUUUCCUUAGAGGGACAAGUUUUCCAGAAGAAAAAGAAUGAAUGCUAGAGCACAUGGGUAUCCUUUGAAAUGAGCUGCAGAGGAGCUGUGUUCAUUUCAGGCUCACAGUCUUGUCACCAGUUUCAGAAGAAUUCUGCACCUGCAGCAGCCAGGAAUAUCUGCUGAGGAACCUUUGUCCUCUACCUAAACCAGGACUCUUCAGCCUGGACUGGAAGGCUCCCAUGUACCAACUGCUCCUGCUGCUGCUGCAGCUGCAACUUCUACUCUCUCUCUCCCCAACCACAGGCCCCAUGAACCCCAAUAGUAGGAGGAAAAGGAAAAGUAAUCAAAAUGCUGUGCUUAAAGGGAUGGUUCUCCAAGUGUGGUACCUGGAUCAGCAGCAUCCUCAGCCCCUGGAAACUUGCUGAAAUGCACUCUUGGACCUUUCUCCAGAACCUCUGGAGUGGUGCCUAGCAAUCUGUGUUUCAGGGAGUCUUCCAGGAGAUUCUGGUGCACAGGAAAGUUUUGGGAGCCACCGGCUUAGGGUUUGAUCUCAGAAGUCAGGUGACCUGCCUAGGAGUUCAUCCAUCUUGGUAAAAAUAUCAUCAACUCUUCUGUCCCCUUUUAAUUGGUGGGGAAAGACCUGCCUGUAGUGCAGUGGAGAAUCCUUGGGAUCCUGGUUAUCUCCUGGCCCUCUGGGCAUUUUGUAUUAACUGUAAGUCACAAGUACUAGCCUGUCUGUGGCAGCAUCCAGGAAACAGAAUCAUGGCAGCUACACGAGAAGCCUCCCACAUGCAGGGUUUCUCUGACGUCUCAUGGUGAAGGACAACAUAUCUAACCUUGUUCUGAGCGAAACGGACAUGUACUUCCAAGUGGCUUGAGAAUCUCUUUAGUUCUAUAUUUAGUCAGUUUACAAGGAGUUUGAGAUGGAUUUUACUGUUUACCAAGGCCUUUCUUGUGUGUCCAUCAUAGUACUUAGGACUGGAAAUCUGUGCUAAUCUCUUGUGAGUUUCCACUUGCAGGAUGCCACUUUGAUAAAAUGUAGAAAUCUUCCAGAUGGCUAGAGAACUGUGCUUCUUUUCUAGAGAAUGAAGUAAAGGAAACUGGGGUAGCAUCCCAGGAGGAAUGACAGAGCAGUACCCACUUCACCAGAUGACAAAUUCAGAGGCACCUAUGGGGCAGUGUGUAAAGUAGGGGAGUCUCUAAUUCAAAAGAAAAUGAUGUGUUCAUGUUCAACAGCUAUGUGGGCUAGACCACCCAGAACCAUUUCUGGCAAACGAAGGCA